RNAcentral lists this ribosomal RNA (495 nucleotides) under uncultured bacterium. RNAcentral describes it as "partial 16S ribosomal RNA". It matches the Rfam family "Bacterial small subunit ribosomal RNA", at positions 28 to 507 of the family's 1533-position model. The record is from RNAcentral.
GACGAACGCUGGCGGCGUGCCUAAUACAUGCAAGUAGAACGCUGAAGGAGGAGCUUGCUUCUAUGGAUGAGUUGCGAACGGGUGAGUAACGCGUAGGUAACCUGCCUGGUAGCGGGGGAUAACUAUUGGAAACGAUAGCUAAUACCGCAUAAGAGUAGAUGUUGCAUGACAUUUGCUUAAAAGGUGCAAUUGCAUCACUACCAGAUGGACCUGCGUUGUAUUAGCUAGUUGGUGAGGUAACGGCUCACCAAGGCAACGAUACAUAGCCGACCUGAGAGGGUGAUCGGCCACACUGGGAGUGAGACACGGCCCAGACUCCUACGGGAGGCAGCAGUAGGGAAUCUUCGGCAAUGGACGGGAGUCUGACCGAGCAACACCGCGUGAGUGAAGAAGGUUUUCGGAUCGUAAAGCUCUGUUGUAAGAGAAGAACGAGUGUGAGAGUGGAAAGUUCACACUGUGACGGUAUCUUACCAGAAAGGGACGGCUAACUACGUG